GACGAACGCUGGCGGCGUGCUUAACACAUGCAAGUCGAACGGAAAGGCCCUGCUUUUGUGGGGUGCUCGAUUGGCGAACGGGUGAGUAACACGUGAGUAACCUGCCCUUGACUUUGGGAUAACUUCAGGAAACUGGGGCUCAUACCGGAUAGGAGCUCCUGCUGCAUGGUGGUGAUUGGAAAGUUUCGGCGGUUGGGGAUGGACUCGCGGCUUAUCAGCUUGUUGGUGGGGUAGUGGCUUACCAAGGCUUUGACGGGUAGCCGGCCUGAGAGGGUGACCGGGCACAUUGGGACUGAGAGACGGACCAGACGCCUACGGGAGGCAGCAGUGGGGAAUAUUGCACAAUGGGCGGAAGCCUGAUGCAGCAACGCCGCGUGCGGGAUGACGGCCUUCGGGUUGUAAACCGCUUUCGACUGUGACGAAGCGUGAGUGACGGUAAUGGGUAAAGAAGCACCGGCUAACUACGUG
RNAcentral lists this ribosomal RNA (468 nucleotides) under uncultured bacterium. RNAcentral describes it as "partial 16S ribosomal RNA". It matches the Rfam family "Bacterial small subunit ribosomal RNA", at positions 28 to 507 of the family's 1533-position model. The record is from RNAcentral.